UGGGGAAUAUUGCACAAUGGGGGAAACCCUGAUGCAGCGACGCCGCGUGAGAGGAAGAAGGUCUUCGGAUUGUAAACUCCUGUUGUUGGGGAAGAUAAUGACGGUACCCAACUAAG
This 116-nucleotide ribosomal RNA is filed under the name uncultured bacterium. Its description in RNAcentral is "partial 16S rRNA". It matches the Rfam family "Bacterial small subunit ribosomal RNA", at positions 355 to 487 of the family's 1533-position model. The record is from RNAcentral.